This is a long non-coding RNA of Pleuronectes platessa (European plaice), 598 nucleotides long. RefSeq lists it as uncharacterized. The record is from RefSeq and is a predicted model, not a curated record. Lineage: Eukaryota; Metazoa; Chordata; Actinopteri; Pleuronectiformes; Pleuronectidae. The transcript has 2 exons.
CAAGAGCAGAGCAGCAACUAUCGAUCUGCUCGUCUGCAUCCAUCUUCAUUCAAAUCGAACCGAAUGAGAUUCAGUCUCACGCCAGCUGUCCGCGGGGGAAACUGGGAUUAAACCAGCCCCACUAACUACUGGCUAUCAGGGGAUAAUGGAGGAGAGAGGGGAGACACGGUCACACCUGAUGUCGCCUUCAAAACAUCUCGGGCGUGCAUGAGUUCGGAGGAGCGAGGCGCUCCGGAGAGGACACCCGGGAGGAGAGGAGGAGAUUCGGGGACACAUUUCACACAAAUACACGCAUACAACAAUCAGUGUGCUGGUACAAGACCCUUUGGAUUGGAUCAGCUGUCCGGGCUUCGCUGGAGGACAGCUUCUCACCCGUUGGGAGGAAUUAGAUGUUCCAAGUGGGACCUGCUGUCCUUUCCUCGGUGUGCCCAGAUCACGCGUCCAAUCCCAUCCUCGUCGCCAAGUUUUGUGAUGGAAAUUCUUUGUUUAAGAAUAAGAAUUCUCAGAUCGGCCUGUGUUUUGUGAAUUUAUUCAAGCAGGAAAUACAACAGAGAAUAUAACAGAAAAUAACAAAGAAUAAAUCUAAGAAAUGUAAUUA